Molecule: ribosomal RNA, 593 nt
Filed under: Kurthia gibsonii
Lineage: Bacteria; Bacillati; Bacillota; Bacilli; Caryophanales; Caryophanaceae
Description: bacterial SSU rRNA
Source: RNAcentral
ACGAGAAGCUUGCUUCUCUGAUUUAGCGGCGGACGGGUGAGUAACACGUGGGCAACCUGCCCUACAGAUCGGGAUAACUCAKGGAAACCUGGGCUAAUACCGGAUAAUCCUUCGAAUCACAUGUUUUGAARUUGAAAGGCGCUUCSGCGUCMCUGUASGAUGGGCCCGCGGUGCAUUAKCUAGUUGGUGGGGUAACGGCCUACCAAGGCAACGAUGCAUAGCCGACCUGAGAGGGUGAUCGGCCACAUUGGGACUGAGACACGGCCCAAACUCCUACGGGAGGCAGCWGUAGGGAAUCUUCCACAAUGGACGAAAGUCUGAUGGAGCAACGCCKCGUGAGUGAUGAAGGUUUUCRGAUCGUAAAACUCUGUUGUAAGGGAAGAACAAGUACGUUAGGAAAUGAACGUACCUUGACGGUACCUUAUUAGAAAGCCACGGCUAACUACGUGCCAGCAGCCGCGGUAAUACGUAGGUGGCAAGCGUUGUCCGGAUUUAUUGGGCGUAAAGCGCGCGCAGGUGGUUUCUUAAGUCUGAUGUGAAAGCCCACGGCUCAWCCGUGGAGGGUCAUUGGAAACUGGGGAACUUGAGUGCAG